RNA transcript from Quercus lobata, 2199 nucleotides. It is a transcript of the gene named non-functional pseudokinase ZED1-like, with no coding region annotated. NCBI's taxonomy places the organism in Eukaryota, Viridiplantae, Streptophyta, Magnoliopsida, Fagales, Fagaceae. The record is from RefSeq and is a predicted model, not a curated record. The transcript has 5 exons.
AGGAAGGACGUUCCAUCCCUCGCUAGCAGUAGCAGAGUAGUAGUGAAGGACGUUCCACAUUCAAGCUAUUAUGCGGUGGAAUUGGUUCGCGUCAUAUCAUUUCUUUUUUAAAAGAAUAGAGGAAAGAAAGCAAAGAGAGGAAAGAGAGAGAUUGUUUUAUGAGAAUGGAAGCAAGUUAGUUGAGAAGCUGAUUGCCUCUUGCAAUGCCAAGCCUAUUCCCAUCCGUACCUUCUCCGCUCAACAGCUCCGCCAAGCAACCAACAACUUUUCUUCUGAAAAGCUGGUAAUGGGGUUCUCUAUUUGGUACAAGGGUUCUCUUGAAGGACGAUUUGUUGUCAUUAAGGGUUCUUUUGUUCGCAAUGCCAAGCCUAUUCCCAUCCGUACCUUCUCCCCUCAACAACUCCGCCAAGCAACCAACAAUUAUCCUUCUCAACAUCUGGGAAUUUAUUGGUACAAAGGUUCUCUUGAAGGACGAAUUGUUCUCAUUAAGCGUUUAGAUAAUUUGGCCUACAUAGCCAUCAAUGAUUUAGUGAUUUCUGCACAAAUGAGUGGUCACAGCAAUGUAUUAAAGCCCAUAGGUUGUUGUCUCCACACUCGAAUUCCCAUGUUGGUGUUUGAAUUUGCCGCCAAUGGUUUACUUGCAGAUCGAAUUUAUGUCUCCCGUGUUACUGAACUGCAACAUGAGCCGAUGGUGUGGGAGAAAAGGUUAAAGAUUGCAAGGCAGAUUGCUCAUACUCUUUCUUAUUUCCAUACUGCCUUCCCUAGACCUGUCAUCCACAUGGGUAUCUUCAUGCACAGUAUCUUCUUAGAUGAACAUGAUGUUCCCAAAUUGUCCCACUUUCAUUUUUCUGUAUCAAUUCCCGAAGGUGAAGCUGACGUGGACGCUCCUUUUCGUUCAAUAUUCUGCGCCCCGGAGUUUGAAGCAACAGGCAAGGCAACUGAGAAAGCUGAUGUAUAUGCUUUUGGUCGGAUUCUUCUUGAACUUUUAACUGGAGAGGAUUCUCUUAAUAUAACCCGAUUUACAAUUGAUAAAGAUUCUACUUUAGUAGCAUACCUACAUAACCGUGCACAAGGUAGUUGCAUAAACGAGAUUAUGGACCCUGCAAUCUUGGCUGAAGAUGGGGAUGGAGGUGCUAGUUUACAGCAUCAAUUACAAGCUGUGGUGGACCUUGGCUUGACAUGUACAGAGGAAGAUCCACAAAGAAGGCCAACUAUGGUAGAUGUCACCAAACAACUCAGGCGGAUUGAGAGGUUCACACAAACGGGUGAAGAGCUUGGGGGAAAUUUGCAGAAUUUAAAGCUUCUUGAGAGUGUUGAAGAGCAUGCUUCUGCAUCAUUGAAAAGGAAUGCUUCUAGUGAUGAAAUCCAAGCAGUGAACAAAGCCUCUGAAAGGCCUCUUGAAGUUUGAUUGUGAUGCAACUGAAUGAUGACAGAGCUUGUAUGGCAGUUUUAACCUGUAAUUGGGAAGUUAUCAUUAUGGCAAACCCUUAAGAAUAUUUCCUGAUUCACGACGUCUCAAAGGUUGUCAUUCAAGAACUGAGUUGAUUUCAAAAGGCUUCAAGCAAGAUUAGUAUACAUUGUACAAUGUAUAUAUCCUUCUGACACUGAUGGAUUCGUGAUUCCAAGCCUGGAAAUAGGAGACUUAGAUCGGAGUAAAACUGAUGUUUCAGAAGUAGAAGCCUCAAAACCUCCUUGUCCAAAGCCAAAAAAGAAGAGAAUAUCUACCUAUGUCCACACGGAGCACCUCCUUCACAGUCAAAGCAGCAAGACCCAAAUUCUGCUGGUCGUAAGCAGCGGUUCAAGCAAAAAUUGAAGGAAGCAGAUGAGAGGACCAGUGGGACAGGUCGGGAGAAUAAGUUAGAGAGUCUCAGAGAACUUGUGGGUGGUGGCAAAGCCACCGGCAACAUGACAAAGGGCUCUACCAGGGAUUGGCUAGACCCACAUUGUCAUGAGUCUCAGUUUGAGAAGUGGAAUCCCCAGUGAGUGGAAUAUUUGAGAGCUUUUUAAACUUGGCACACUGGGUUAUCUUUGGAGACUGAAUUUAUAAAAGGUUAUGUAUUUUGCAAUAAAUUUUCAACCAGGCCUUUGAGAUUUGCUUUUGCUGCGAAAGAUUCUUUCAGUAGCAUUUCCGAUGUUUGGGUUGUAUUUGCUGCAGUUGGUGUUUGGCCCUUCUCUUAUUUUGUGCUCCUUCCACUUUGA